Molecule: ribosomal RNA, 241 nt
Filed under: uncultured bacterium
Lineage: Bacteria
Description: partial 16S ribosomal RNA
Rfam family: Bacterial small subunit ribosomal RNA
Source: RNAcentral
CCGGCGCACGGGUGAGUAACACGUAUCCAACCUGCCGUCUACUCUUGGCCAGCCUUCUGAAAGGAAGAUUAAUCCAGGAUGGGAUCAUGAGUUCACAUGUCCGCAUGAUUAAAGGUAUUUUCCGGUAGACGAUGGGGAUGCGUUCCAUUAGAUAGUAGGCGGGGUAACGGCCCACCUAGCCAACGAUGGAUAGGGGUUCUGAGAGGAAGGUCCCCCACAUUGGAACUGAGACACGGUCCAA